GAUGAAGAACGUAGCGAAAUGCGAUACUUGGUGUGAAUUGCAGAAUCCCGUGAACCAUCGAGUCUUUGAACGCAAGUUGCGCCCGAAGCCAUUAGGCCGAGGGCACACCUGCCUGGGCGUCACACGUCGUUGCCCCCCCAUCUACUCCUUCGGGAUUGCGGGGGGCGGAUGAUGGCCUCCCGUGCGCCUCGCCGCGCGGUUGGCAUAAAUGCCAAGUCCUCGGCGACGCACGCCACGACAAUCGGUGGUUGCGAAACCUCGGUUGCCCGUCGUGUGCGGUCGUCGCGCAUCGAGGGCUCGAAAAAAUUGCCGGGUUCCGGCUCGGCUUUCAACGCGACCCCAGGUCAGGCGGGGUUACCCGCUGAAUUUAAGCAUAUCAAUAAGCGGAGGA
RNAcentral lists this unclassified non-coding RNA (391 nucleotides) under soil metagenome. RNAcentral's name for it is "partial contains 5.8S ribosomal RNA, internal transcribed spacer 2, and large subunit ribosomal RNA". The stretch from base 1 to 122 matches the Rfam family "5.8S ribosomal RNA", at positions 35 to 154 of the family's 154-position model. The record is from RNAcentral.